UUUCCGUAGGUGAACCUGCGGAAGGAUCAUUAUUGUAUAACCGAGGGGCGAGGGCUGUCGCUGACCCGAAAGGGCGUGCACGCCCGAGUGCCCUCACACACAUCCAUCUCACCCCUAUGUGCACCACCGCGUGGGUCCCCCUUUGGCUUGUUCGGAGGGGGGCUUACGUUUUCACACAAACUUUGUAUGCAGUGUAGAAUGUAUUUUUUGUUUUUGCGAUCACGCAAUCAAUACAACUUUCAACAACGGAUCUCUUGGCUCUC
Molecule: unclassified non-coding RNA, 263 nt
Filed under: plant metagenome
Description: partial contains small subunit ribosomal RNA, internal transcribed spacer 1, and 5.8S ribosomal RNA
Source: RNAcentral